AUACGGAGGAUGCAAGCGUUAUCCGGAUUUAUUGGGUUUAAAGGGUGCGUAGGCGGUUUGCUAAGCGGGAGGUGAAAUGCCGGCGCUCAACGUCGGAAGUGCCUCCCGAACUGGUGGACUUGAAUGACUCUGCCGUGGGAGGAAUGUGUAGUGUAGCGGUGAAAUGCUUAGAGAUUACACAGAACACCGAUUGCGAAGGCAUCUCACGAAGGGUUGAUUGACGCUGAGGCACGAAAGCGUGGGGAUCAAACAGUAUUAGAUACCCUGGUAGUCCACGCAGUAAACGAUGAUGGCUAACCGCUGGGCUUAUCAGUUCAGUGGCCAAGCGAAAGCGAUAAGCCAUCCACCUGGGGAGUACGACCGCAAGGUUGAAACUCAAAUGAAUUGACGGGG
This 393-nucleotide ribosomal RNA is filed under the name uncultured bacterium. RNAcentral's name for it is "partial 16S ribosomal RNA". It matches the Rfam family "Bacterial small subunit ribosomal RNA", at positions 523 to 918 of the family's 1533-position model. The record is from RNAcentral.